UACGGGGGGGGCAAGCGUUGUUCGGAAUUACUGGGCGUAAAGGGCUCGUAGGCGGCCAACUAAGUCGGAUGUGAAAUCCCCAGGCUCAACUUGGGAACUGCAUCCGAUACUGGAUGGCUUGAAUUCGGGAGAGGGAUGCAGAAUUCCAGGUGUAGCGGUGAAAUGCGUAGAUAUCUGGAGGAACACCGGUGGCGAAGGCGGCAUCCUGGACCAUUACUGACGCUGAGUGAGCGAAAGCCAGGGGAGCAAACGGG
Molecule: ribosomal RNA, 254 nt
Filed under: uncultured bacterium
Lineage: Bacteria
Description: partial 16S ribosomal RNA
Rfam family: Bacterial small subunit ribosomal RNA
Source: RNAcentral